UGUAACGUGGGGGCAGCAGGAGCGUGAAGAGGAGGGGGGCAAGGUUUAUUCUGAGUUACUGGGCGGAAAGCGCGCGUAGGUUGAUGAGGAAGUUGUGAGUGAAAUCCCCGGGCUCAACCGGGUAACUGCGAGUGAAGCUGGGCGACUAGAGUGUGGUAGAGGGUAGCGGAAGUCCUGGUGUAGCAGUGAAAUGCGUAGAUAUCAGGAGGAACAUCCAUGGCGAAGGCAGCUACCUGGGCCAACACUGACACUGAGGCACGAAAGCGUGGGGAGCAAACAGGAUUAGAUACCCGAGUAGUC
RNAcentral lists this ribosomal RNA (300 nucleotides) under uncultured Acidianus sp. RNAcentral describes it as "bacterial SSU rRNA". It matches the Rfam family "Bacterial small subunit ribosomal RNA", at positions 496 to 795 of the family's 1533-position model. Lineage: Archaea; Thermoproteati; Thermoproteota; Thermoprotei; Sulfolobales; Sulfolobaceae. The record is from RNAcentral.